CCUCUGAGGACAACAAAGGUUCCAAGUUUUUUUAUUAUUAAGGGCGUUUUAUAGUUCUUACAACAAAAAUCGAACUAAGGGUACUAUAAACUCAUUCAUAUUAUUUUUGAAGAAGCAAUCGAAUAUAUGUGUAGAACGUGUUCGUUGCACAUUGCCUCGAAGUACAGCUUCCUGAAUUUUACACGUUACCUUUUAUGAGUACCACAAUUGGCCUGCUUUUAAGAAAUGGUAAGGUGGUCUCGUAUUUUUUUGUAUUAUCGGUCUGUGUAGGGACGUAAAGGAUUUAAUCAUGAGGGAAGCAUUUGAUUAUAUUCUCGCAAAUCUUGUGAUAAAACCACUAGAUUUGCAAGAAUAUAAUCAAAUGUCUCCCUCAUAAUAAAAUUUAUAUCAUUAUUGUUUUUAUUUACGACCAUGAAACUUACAGCUUCCAAAACAUCAUGUAAAGAACCUUGCAAUGUUGUAAAGACACCAAAGGUCAAAAAGAGGAGCGAGUGAGUGAGUGGGUGAGUGAGUCAGCGGAGAAGUGCGAGUAAGGGGAGCGAGUGGGUGAGGUGGUUUAGGGAUCGGGCGCCGCCGCUGCGUGGAGGGGGAGUGAGCGCAGCCGCUGAGUUGGCGUAGCGGCGGGAAGAGGAGUCCGCAGCGGCGGCCCGGAAGAGCAGACGUAGCGGAGAGGGAGAGCGGGCGUAGGAGACGCGGUGCCAGCUCGGUUUCAACCUAUAAAAUCGCUCCAGCUCAUCCUCGCACUCUUCGCGCCCGUGCCACCGGAACAGGACGAGCUCCUUCCGCCGCUGCCUACGAUCGCGAGGAGCGGCGGUAGCUGGACGUUCCUCCUCGCGGCACAACCUGCGACGGUAGAGGCUGCGACGACCAUGAGGAGGCGGCGAUGCUCACGGGGCAGUGGACGCGGGUCCAGUCGGCGCUUCAGCUCGAGGGGUACUAACUGGACGUUCCAAUAGUAGGAAUUAAAAGGGGUGUGGAAAGGUUAGAGACCUCGGAUCCUAAGCCCCUUUCCGUUCCUCUCUAAGACCUCGACUAACACUAACACUAACAACUACACCUACCUUAUACCUACAUCUACAUGACACCAGUUCUUGACGAGAGACGGCGCCCUCAUCUAACCUUUACGACGACGACGAGGACCUGUUACGCCGACGACGACGGUGAUGGUGAGCGGCUAAGCCCGUACUCGUGUAAGAACCUCACCUAGACGUAAAGUCUUUCAAUUGUCCACCCUCAUGUACCUCAUGGUGUAAAAUUCAGCUCCUCUUCUACCACGGACGAGGCACUACUACGGUGGUCGUGGAUGCUGAAGGAGCUGGUGGUGGUGGUACUACUGCUGAAGGAGCUUACACCACUCAUGAGGAGGUUACGAACAUGAGAAUAGUUACAAAUGACGACAUUAGUACCUCAUCAAUCGACGACAAUAGUACCGUCCUCAUUACGUGGUAAUCAACCAUUCUUUAUUACAGUCAUACUUUGGAGAGUUGUCAUUGACAAAAAAACACUCCUUGUCAUGUACCAAAGUUGAAAUAAACGGGGUAAGGUACAAGACUUUA
This 1556-nucleotide ribosomal RNA is filed under the name Triticum aestivum (bread wheat). RNAcentral's name for it is "partial small subunit ribosomal RNA". Lineage: Eukaryota; Viridiplantae; Streptophyta; Magnoliopsida; Poales; Poaceae. The record is from RNAcentral.